RNAcentral lists this ribosomal RNA (490 nucleotides) under Burkholderia cepacia. RNAcentral describes it as "bacterial SSU rRNA". It matches the Rfam family "Bacterial small subunit ribosomal RNA", at positions 325 to 803 of the family's 1533-position model. The record is from RNAcentral. Lineage: Bacteria; Pseudomonadati; Pseudomonadota; Betaproteobacteria; Burkholderiales; Burkholderiaceae.
UCCGGCCCAGACUCUUACGGGAGGCAGCAGUGGGGAAUUUUGGACAAUGGGCGAAAGCCUGUAUCCAGCAAUGCCCGCGUGUGUGAAAGAAGGCCUUCGGGUUGUAAAGCACUUUUGUCCGGAAAGAAAUCCUUGGUCUUAAUAUGGCCGGGGGAUGACGGUACCGGAAGAAUAAGCACCGGCUAAUUACGUGCCAGCAGCCGCGGUAAUACGUAGGGUGCAAGCGUUAAUCGGAAUUACUGGGCGUAAAGCGUGCGCAGGCGGUUUGUUAAGACCGAUGUGAAAUCCCCGGGCUCAACCUGGGAACUGCAUUGGUGACUGGCAGGCUAGAGUAUGGCAGAGGGGGGUAGAAUUCCACGUGUAGCAGUGAAAUGCGUAGAGAUGUGGAGGAAUACCGAUGGCGAAGGCCGCCCCCUGGGCCCAAUACUGACGCUCAUGCACAAAAGCGUGGGGAGCAAACAGAAUUAGAUACCCUGGUACUCCACGAAAG